UGCCAGCCGCCGCGGUAAUACGGAGGGUGCAAGCGUUGUCCGGAUUUAUUGGGUUUAAAGGGUGCGUAGGUGGUCAAUUAAGUCAGUGGUGAAAUCCUGCAGCUCAACUGUAGAACUGCCAUUGAUACUGGUUGACUUGAGUAUAGACGAGGUAGGCGGAAUUUAUGGUGUAGCGGUGAAAUGCAUAGAUACCAUAAAGAACACCGAUAGCGAAGGCAGCUUACUAGACUAUAACUGACACUGAGGCACGAAAGCAUGGGUAGCGAACAGGAUUAGAUA
This 279-nucleotide ribosomal RNA is filed under the name uncultured bacterium. RNAcentral describes it as "partial 16S ribosomal RNA". It matches the Rfam family "Bacterial small subunit ribosomal RNA", at positions 506 to 784 of the family's 1533-position model. The record is from RNAcentral.